GGGGCUGACCUGGUUUCGACGGGAUCAAGUAGCUUUUAACUGCAUGUCGGACUGAGCAUUUCCGUUACACGGCUCAAAAUUGCUUAAACGCAAACAAUACAAAUUACCGCCCAGCUUACGCAGUAGCAUAAGUUUUACCCCCUCUUAGAGGACGGGCUGCUUCACCUAUGGACUCUAGAUAAAUAGGAUUCGAAGUAUAACCCUUAUGUAGAUAUACUUUACGUCCGCCUCGUACGUAGAAUGAACCCAAGAGGAUCGUCUUGUGUAGCUUUGCAAGUUGUGUGAAGCAAGAUUAAACUUUAACGGCUUUUCUAAGCAUGUAGACGUUAGGAGUAGCGUGGUUUCGGACUGGAGUUCGAUUCUCCACAGCUCCACCA
Molecule: transfer-messenger RNA, 377 nt
Filed under: Candidatus Sulfurimonas baltica
Lineage: Bacteria; Pseudomonadati; Campylobacterota; Epsilonproteobacteria; Campylobacterales; Sulfurimonadaceae
Also listed under: 1 other name
Rfam family: transfer-messenger RNA
About the family: Bacterial tmRNA, also known as 10Sa RNA or SsrA, is named for its dual tRNA and mRNA-like properties. Its role is to liberate the mRNA from a stalled ribosome. To accomplish this part of the tmRNA is used as a reading frame that ends in a translation stop signal.
Source: RNAcentral